CCUACGGGAGGCAGCAGUGAGGAAUAUUGGUCAAUGGCCGGAAGGCUGAACCAGCCAUGCCGCGUGAAGGUCAGUGCCCUAUGGGCGUUAAACUUCUUUUGUGCGGGAGCAAUAAUGGUCACGUGUGGCCAGACGAGAGUACCGUACGAAUAAGAAUCGGCUAACUCCGGGCCAGCAGCCGCGGUAAUACGGGGGAUGCAAGCGUUAUCCGGAUUUAUUGGGUUUAAAGGGUGCGUAGGCUGGGAGGUAAGUCAGCGGUGAAAUGCCCCCGCUCAACGGGGUGAAGUGACAUUGAUACUGGCUUGCUUGAAUGCGGAUGCGGUGGGAGGAAUGUGUGGUGUAGCGGUGAAAUGCAUAGAUAUCACACAGAACACCGAUUGCGAAGGCAUCUCACGAAUCCGCGAUUGACGCUGAUGCACGAAAGCGUGGGUAUCAAACAGGAUUAGAUACCCGGGUAGUC
Molecule: ribosomal RNA, 460 nt
Filed under: uncultured bacterium
Lineage: Bacteria
Description: partial 16S ribosomal RNA
Rfam family: Bacterial small subunit ribosomal RNA
Source: RNAcentral